RNAcentral lists this ribosomal RNA (497 nucleotides) under uncultured bacterium. RNAcentral describes it as "partial 16S ribosomal RNA". It matches the Rfam family "Bacterial small subunit ribosomal RNA", at positions 28 to 507 of the family's 1533-position model. The record is from RNAcentral.
GACGAACGCUGGCGGCGUGCCUAAUACAUGCAAGUUGAGCGAUGAAGAUUGGUGCUUGCACCAAUUUGAAGAGCAGCGAACGGGUGAGUAACGCGUGGGGAAUCUGCCUUUGAGCGGGGGACAACAUUUGGAAACGAAUGCUAAUACCGCAUAACAACUUUAAACAUAAGUUUUAAGUUUGAAAGAUGCAAUUGCAUCACUCAAAGAUGAUCCCGCGUUGUAUUAGCUAGUUGGUGAGGUAAAGGCUCACCAAGGCGAUGAUACAUAGCCGACCUGAGAGGGUGAUCGGCCACAUUGGGACUGGGACACGGCCCAAACUCCUACGGGAGGCAGCAGUAGGGAAUCUUCGGCAAUGGACGAAAGUCUGACCGAGCAACGCCGCGGGAGUGAAGAAGGUUUUCGGAUCGUAAAACUCUGUUGGUAGAGAAGAACGUUGGUGAGAGUGGAAAGCUCAUCAAGUGACGGUAACUACCCAGAAAGGGACGGCUAACUACGUG